UAACUAAUCGACAGACGGAAACUACAUUAUUAUGCGAACUUUCGCCAAGGGAUUACGAGGAUUCGGCGACAGGUGGCAGCACAUGCAUCGAAAAUGGCUCUUUCGUGAGCGCCAUUUCGAAAAGUGUAUGCCUAUAACCUUUGUAUACGCACGAUCCACAGAUCCGUAUAUGUUCCUAAGCAGAGCACCGAAUUCUGUCUAUUUAUAGAUUUUCGCCUACUAACGAUUUUUCAUCUCCUCGUGCUCUCGAUAAGCGACGCGCAGGAAUAAAGCGCGUCCUCGAAAAUGCAGCGUUGCAGUGAAAAUUCGCGAAGACGCGAUGCUAAUUAACAGCUCGAGAGAUUAUGCUUUCCUUCUGUUGCGAAGAGAGUGAAAUUUCAAUUAUAAAAUAUCGACCGUUUGAACGAAAGCGAGAUCUGCUAAAUCCGCGAAAUCGCUUCUGUUAUUGCAUAACGACCGGCGACACAUCAUUAUUGUUAACGACGCCGUCAGACGCUGAGUAGAAAGAGAGAAGGGAGAGUGGGACAAAAAGAGAGAAAAUUCUAUUAUUCUUUCCGUUUGCAGACAAGACGAAGAAAAACAGGAAGACAUGAUCGUGCAUGAUCCUCGCAUGUUGCAGCCAACCAUCCAUUGAGCGAAUUAAUGCUUAUUUCUAAAGAACUUCCGCAAGAUCAAACCGCAAACGUACAUGACAUGUUGUUUCUGCCGAUUCGGCGCAUCGGCCAUCUAUAAUUUGCAAGUCCGUUCAUUUCGGCUACGCUCUCUUCUGCUUUUCGCCGUUACAGCGAGGCGGACGUUAUUCUCUUCGUCCAGGAAAAGAUAAAAGCGCCGAGGAAUGUAGAAAGUAUCAUUAGCGAAAAUAGACGGAUAGAUAAACCGAGGCAGAAAUCGCAAUCAACAGAGAUGAUAAUUACGUCAAGAGAAGCGCUUCAGCGUAACGGCCGGCCACGUAUCAAAGGAUAAGUCCUGUUCAUUCGCAAUUAAAAGUGAUCGUCCUGCAAACAAGUGAAUUGGACAAUUAAUUUGGCGUAAACACACGGUAGGUGUAUGCACAGACCGAUUGAUAUUUCCGAUGUUUUUGGAAGGACAAAUAUAUAAUUGACGUUACGUAAAUCACACUCAUGGUUUUCGUAACGAUUU
This is a long non-coding RNA of Harpegnathos saltator (Jerdon's jumping ant), 1140 nucleotides long. RefSeq lists it as uncharacterized. The transcript has 4 exons. The record is from RefSeq and is a predicted model, not a curated record. Lineage: Eukaryota; Metazoa; Arthropoda; Insecta; Hymenoptera; Formicidae.